CAGUAGCCGCGGGAAUACGUAGGGUGCAAGCGUUAAUCGGAAUUACUGGGCGUAAAGCGUGCGCAGGCGGUUCUAUAAGACAGAUGUGAAAUCCCCGGGCUCAACCUGGGAACUGCAUUUGUGACUGUAGAGCUGGAGUACGGCAGAGGGGGAUGGAAUUCCGCGUGUAGCAGUGAAAUGCGUAGAUAUGCGGAGGAACACCGAUGGCGAAGGCAAUCCCCUGGGCCUGUACUGACGCUCAUGCACGAAAGCGUGGGGAGCAAACAGGAUUAGAUACCCCCGUAGUCCCUGUCUCUUAUAC
This 301-nucleotide ribosomal RNA is filed under the name uncultured bacterium. Its description in RNAcentral is "partial 16S ribosomal RNA". It matches the Rfam family "Bacterial small subunit ribosomal RNA", at positions 509 to 807 of the family's 1533-position model. The record is from RNAcentral.